This 72-nucleotide transfer RNA is filed under the name Camelus bactrianus (Bactrian camel). It matches the Rfam family "tRNA". From Rfam's summary of the family: Transfer RNA (tRNA) molecules are approximately 80 nucleotides in length. Their secondary structure includes four short double-helical elements and three loops (D, anti-codon, and T loops). The record is from Rfam by way of RNAcentral. Lineage: Eukaryota; Metazoa; Chordata; Mammalia; Artiodactyla; Camelidae. RNAcentral also lists the same sequence under 2 other names.
GAGGGUAUAGCUCAGUGGUAAAGUGCAUGCUUAGCAUGCAUGAGGUUCUGGGUUCAAUCCCCAGUACCUCCA